RNAcentral lists this ribosomal RNA (253 nucleotides) under uncultured bacterium. Its description in RNAcentral is "partial 16S ribosomal RNA". It matches the Rfam family "Bacterial small subunit ribosomal RNA", at positions 524 to 776 of the family's 1533-position model. The record is from RNAcentral.
UACAGAGGUCUCAAGCGUUGUUCGGAUUCAUUGGGCGUAAAGGGUGCGUAGGCGGCGCGGUAAGUCGGGUGUGAAAUCUCGGAGCUUAACUCCGAAACUGCAUUCGAUACUGCCGUGCUUGAGGACUGGAGAGGAGACUGGAAUUUACGGUGUAGCGGUGAAAUGCGUAGAUAUCGUGAGGAAGACCGGUGGCGAAGGCGGAUCUCUGGGCCUUACCUGACGCUGAGACGCGAAAGCGUGGGGAGCGAACCGG